Molecule: ribosomal RNA, 426 nt
Filed under: uncultured Lysobacteraceae bacterium
Lineage: Bacteria; Pseudomonadati; Pseudomonadota; Gammaproteobacteria; Lysobacterales; Lysobacteraceae
Description: bacterial SSU rRNA
Rfam family: Bacterial small subunit ribosomal RNA
Source: RNAcentral
GGGGAAUAUUGCGCAAUGGGGGAAACCCUGACGCAGCAACGCCGCGUGCGGGAUGAAGGCCUUCGGGUUGUAAAGCCCUUUUGUUGGGAAAGAAAAGCAGCCGGCCAAUACCCGGUUGUUCUGACGGUACCCAAAGAAUAAGCACCGGCUAACUUCGUGCCAGCAGCCGCGGUAAUACGAAGGGUGCAAGCGUUACUCGGAAUUACUGGACGUAAAGCGUGCGUAGGUGGUGGUUUAAGUCCGUUGUGAAAGCCCUGGGCUCAACCUGGGAACUGCAGUGGAUACUGGAUCACUAGAGUGUGGCAGAGGGUAGUGGAAUUCCCGGUGUAGCAGUGAAAUGCGUAGAGAUCGGGAGGAACAUCAGUGGCGAAGGCGACUGCCUGGGCCAACACUGACACUGAGGCACGAAAGCGUGGGGAGCAAACA